UACGUAGGGUGCAAGCGUUGCCCGGAUUUAUUGGGCGUAAAGGGCGCGUAGGCGGCCCCGGCGCGUCCGCGGUGAAAGCUCCCGGCUCAACUGGGAGAGGUCCGCGGAAACGGUCGGGCUGGAGCAAGGUAGGGGGUCGUGGAAUUCCCGGUGUAGUGGGUGGAAUGCGUAGAGAUCGGGGAGGAACACCAAUGGCGAAGGCAGCUCUCUGGUACGUGACUGACGCUGAGACGCGAAAGCGUGGGGAGCGAACGAGG
RNAcentral lists this ribosomal RNA (257 nucleotides) under uncultured bacterium. Its description in RNAcentral is "partial 16S ribosomal RNA". It matches the Rfam family "Bacterial small subunit ribosomal RNA", at positions 524 to 777 of the family's 1533-position model. The record is from RNAcentral.